RNAcentral lists this ribosomal RNA (393 nucleotides) under uncultured bacterium. Its description in RNAcentral is "partial 16S ribosomal RNA". It matches the Rfam family "Bacterial small subunit ribosomal RNA", at positions 523 to 918 of the family's 1533-position model. The record is from RNAcentral.
AUACGGAAGGUCCGGGCGUUAUCCGGAUUUAUUGGGUUUAAAGGGAGCGCAGGCGGAGAUGCAAGCGUGACGUCAAAUUUCGGGGCUCAACCCCGUCUCGCGUCGCGAACUGCGUCCCUUGGUUGCGGGAAGGGGAGGCGGAACUCGUGGUGUAGCGGUGAAAUGCAUAGAUAUCACGAAGAACUCCGAUCGCGAAGGCAGCCUUCCGGCCCGUCAACGACGCUCAUGCUCGAAGGUGCGGGUAUCAAACAGGAUUAGAUACCCUGGUAGUUCGCACAGUAAACGAUGGACACCCGCGGUUUGGCCUAUAUGGCUGAGCCGCCAAGCGAAAGCGUUAAGUGUCCCACCUGGGGAGUACGCCGGCAACGGUGAAACUCAAAGGAAUUGGCGGGG